UACGUAGGCAGCAAGCGUUGUUCGGAGUUACUGGGCGUAAAGGGUGUGUAGGCGGUUGCCUAAGUUUGGUGUGAAAUCUCCCGGCUUAACUGGGAGGGUGCGCCGAAAACUGGGUGACUAGAGUACGGGAUGGGAAAGUGGAAUUCCUGGUGUAGCGGUGAAAUGCGUAGAUAUCAGGAGGAACACCGGUGGUGUAGACGGCUUUCUGGACCGUAACUGACGCUGAAACACGAAAGCGUGGGUAGCAAACAGG
This 253-nucleotide ribosomal RNA is filed under the name uncultured bacterium. Its description in RNAcentral is "partial 16S ribosomal RNA". It matches the Rfam family "Bacterial small subunit ribosomal RNA", at positions 524 to 776 of the family's 1533-position model. The record is from RNAcentral.